UUUGCCCAGUAUAACAGUGUGCUUCAUAUCUCUCUAGUCUCUAAAUAGUCUCUUGGAUCUGUAAUCCUAACUUCCAUAUUAAGAUUCACUUCAGGGGCUGGGCUGUAGCUCAGUGGUAUAAUAGCAAUUGCCUAGCACGUGUGAGGCACUGGGUUCGAUCCUCAGCACUGAAUAAAAAUAAAUAAAUAAAAUAAAGAUGUUGUGCCCAUCUACAGCUAAAAAUAAUUAAAAGAAAAAAAAAAGAUUCACUUCAUUUCAUGAACUUUAAUUCUCCCUACUAGAAGAACAUGCAGAGGCUAAGUCCUUUUCCGAGCAUCAGUCUCAAAGGUCAUUAGCCAGUUGUAAUCACACUAACUGCAAGAAAGGCUGGGUAAAGCAAGGAACAGUGGAAUAUUUGAAGACACAGCAGAAGCUAACCCUUGGAGGUCUGAG
Molecule: long non-coding RNA, 432 nt
Organism: Marmota monax (woodchuck)
Lineage: Eukaryota; Metazoa; Chordata; Mammalia; Rodentia; Sciuridae
Exons: 3
Source: RefSeq, a predicted model, not a curated record